RNAcentral lists this ribosomal RNA (524 nucleotides) under uncultured bacterium. Its description in RNAcentral is "bacterial SSU rRNA". It matches the Rfam family "Bacterial small subunit ribosomal RNA", at positions 8 to 518 of the family's 1533-position model. The record is from RNAcentral.
AGAGUUUGAUCCUGGCUCAGAACGAACGCUGGCGGCGCGCUUAAGCAUGCAAGUCGAACGGCAAGAGGUAGCAAUACCUCCUAGAGUGGCGGACUGGUGAGUAACACGUGGGUGACAUACCCUUCAGAUGGGGAUAGCUAUUAGAAAUAGUAGAUAAUACCGAAUACGAGCACAGGGGUUAGAGAUCUGUGAGGAAAGGAGCUAAGGCUCCGCUGAAGGAAUGGCCUGCGGCCCAUUAGCUAGUUGGUGAGGUAAGAGCCCACCAAGGCGAUGAUGGGUAUCCGGCCCUAGAGGGUGAACGGACACAUUGGGACUGAGAUACGGCCCAGACUCCUACGGGAGGCAGCAGCUAAGAAUAUUCCGCAAUGGACGAAAGUCUGACGGAGCGACGCCGCCGUGGAUGAAGAAGGCCGGAAGGUUAGUAAAAUUCCUUUUGAAACUGAAGAAUAAGCGUUGUAGGGAAUGACAGCGUGGUGACAGUUAGGUUUUGAAUAAGCAACGGCUAAUUACGUGCCAGCCGCCGC